Molecule: long non-coding RNA, 741 nt
Filed under: Manihot esculenta (cassava)
Lineage: Eukaryota; Viridiplantae; Streptophyta; Magnoliopsida; Malpighiales; Euphorbiaceae
Description: long non-coding RNA (MESC_LNC002190)
Source: RNAcentral
UUAACAACAAGUCAUCUAAAAUUAACAUACAUAAAUUUAAUUGUUUAAAAAUUAUCAAAUUAAUAUCAUAGCUUCUAAACCUGUGUAUAUUCUCUUUUUUUUUUUUUUUACAAAGUAAGAAGUAUGUAUUAAAAAUUCUACGGAUUCAAAUUAUUACAACAAGAAUUAAAAAACCUCAAAAACACAAGACCCAUCCAGAAAAGCCCACCCAAAUAGCAACCCUGACACGACAGCAAACCAUAUUUACUUCUUUUUUGUUGUUUCGUUGUUAUUCCUUAUGUUUUCACUCAUGUUUCUUGAAAUUUCAAUUUAGGCUUUUACUAAAAUCAGUAUUCUUUUUCCACAAUUUUGAAUUCUUGGAUAUAAAAAAACAAUCAGCCCAUGGAACCACAAGAGUGGCAUCCUUCAAAGGCUUUUUAAGGUCUUGAGUUCUUACAAGAAGAGUCACAAGGAAACUCAGACAAGGAAUUGAGAAAAUCUGAGAGGCCUGUUGUUAGUGAACAGAAAGCUGAUGAAGAUUUCCUUCUUGGAAGUUCGAACAAGACAAAUGAAAGGCCAAGGUGCCUCAAGUGGAGCAGGAUUUUCUUUCCCUUAAUGACAAGUUUAGUUUUCAUGGGUGUGAAAUUUGGAAAUUUGGGAAAUUUUAGUUCUCUUUUAAAUUUGGGAAUGAUGCUAAUGCUAUUGGUUCAAUCGAAAUGCUAAUGGAAAUUUGGGAAAUUUUAGUUCAAUCGAAAUUAAUUC